UCCGAAUUGGUGUAACGGUUAACAUUUGGCGUUUUCAUCCUCUUCAUGAAGAAAGAGAAUACCGCCAGGCUCGGGGUUCGAUUCCCCGAUUCGGAG
Xylaria bambusicola is the source of this 96-nucleotide non-coding RNA. Lineage: Eukaryota; Fungi; Ascomycota; Sordariomycetes; Xylariales; Xylariaceae. The record is from the annotation of a RefSeq genome assembly.